AAGCUCAUGAUGUCGACAAUGUCUCAUCACAUCCUUAUAUCUUUCCCAUUCUUCGAAAAGCGAUUCUCUAUCUUUCUGUUUAAAUCCGUUGAUUUAUAUCCCUAGCGU
This is a small nucleolar RNA of Lathyrus oleraceus (garden pea), 108 nucleotides long. Lineage: Eukaryota; Viridiplantae; Streptophyta; Magnoliopsida; Fabales; Fabaceae. The record is from RefSeq and is a predicted model, not a curated record.